GGAUAUGGGGUCAUGUGCCUGUGACACCAGUCACCUCAUUGAUUCAACUGAUUUGACCGGCUACAUAGUACCUCUUUCUCUCUCCAUGUUCAUAUGGAUCCCCUACCCCUGAAGCUGUGAGAUCAGUCAAAGAAAACCUUCCCCAGUAGAGGUUGAUCUCUUCUUCCAUCAAGGGUGUAUGAGUGCAUGUGUUCCUUUAUUAGAGCAUUAGAUGAACUCCUCUACAAGAACCAAACAAGCUCUCAAGAAGUAAAUGGGGUGACUCAAUAGGUUGGGGGACCUCUUCCUUUAACUCUCCUU
Molecule: unclassified non-coding RNA, 300 nt
Organism: Capra hircus (goat)
Lineage: Eukaryota; Metazoa; Chordata; Mammalia; Artiodactyla; Bovidae
Gene: 7SK
Rfam family: 7SK RNA
About the family: 7SK was discovered as an abundant small nuclear RNA in the mid-70s but a possible function has only recently been suggested. Two independent studies have found that 7SK RNA binds the CDK9/cyclin T complex (known as elongation factor P-TEFb).
Source: Ensembl